RNAcentral lists this ribosomal RNA (815 nucleotides) under uncultured bacterium. RNAcentral's name for it is "bacterial SSU rRNA". It matches the Rfam family "Bacterial small subunit ribosomal RNA", at positions 8 to 796 of the family's 1533-position model. The record is from RNAcentral.
AGAGUUUGAUCCUGGCUCAGAACGAACGCUGGCGGCGUGGAUAAGACAUGCAAGUCGAGCGCUGAUUACAGGGUAGCAAUAUUCUGUGGUCGGAGCGGCGCAAGGGUGCGUAACACGUGGGUAAUCUGCCAUGAAGUUUGGGAUAACUUGCUGAAAGGCGUGCUAAUACCGGAUGUGACAACUGGAAGGCAUCUUUUGGUUGUCAAAGUUGGGGACCGUAAGGCCUGACGCUUCAUGAUGAGCCCGCGGCCUAUCAGCUAGUUGGUGAGGUAACGGCUCACCAAGGCUAAGACGGGUAGCUGGUCUGAGAGGACGACCAGCCACACUGGAACUGAGACACGGUCCAGACACCUACGGGUGGCAGCAGUCGAGAAUUUUUCACAAUGGGCGCAAGCCUGAUGGAGCGACGCCGCGUGGGGGAUGAAUGGCUUCGGCCCGUAAACCCCUGUCAUUUGCGAUCAACCGUUAUUAUUUAAAAGAUGAUGACCUGAUAGUAGCGAAAGAGGAAGGGACGGCUAACUCUGUGCCAGCAGCCGCGGUAAUACAGAGGUCCCGAGCGUUGUUCGGAUUCACUGGGCGUAAAGGGUGCGUAGGUGGUGAGGUAAGUCGGAUGUGAAAGCUCGGAGCUCAACUCCGAAAUGGCAUUGGAAACUACCUUGCUCGAGGGUUGGAAGGGGGACUGGAAUGCUUGGUGUAGCAGUGAAAUGCGUAGAUAUCAAGCGGAACACCAGUGGCGAAGGCGAGUCCCUGGACAACUCCUGACACUGAGGCACGAAAGCUAGGGGAGCAAACAGGAUUAGAUACCCUAGUAGUCC